RNAcentral lists this transfer RNA (77 nucleotides) under Binatus soli (SeqCode). Its description in RNAcentral is "tRNA-Ala". It matches the Rfam family "tRNA". Rfam says of the family: Transfer RNA (tRNA) molecules are approximately 80 nucleotides in length. Their secondary structure includes four short double-helical elements and three loops (D, anti-codon, and T loops). The record is from RNAcentral. RNAcentral also lists the same sequence under 11 other names. Lineage: Bacteria; Candidatus Binatota; Binatia (SeqCode); Binatales (SeqCode); Binataceae (SeqCode).
GGGGCUGUAGCUCAGUUUGGGAGAGCGCCUGAAUGGCAUUCAGGAGGUCGCGCGUUCGAUCCGCGUCAGCUCCACCA